This 490-nucleotide ribosomal RNA is filed under the name uncultured bacterium. RNAcentral's name for it is "partial 16S ribosomal RNA". It matches the Rfam family "Bacterial small subunit ribosomal RNA", at positions 30 to 507 of the family's 1533-position model. The record is from RNAcentral.
AUUGAACGCUGGCGGCAGGCCUAACACAUGCAAGUCGAACGGUAACAGGAAGAAGCUUGCUUCUUUGCUGACGAGUGGCGGACGGGUGAGUAAUGUCUGGGAAACUGCCUGAUGGAGGGGGAUAACUACUGGAAACGGUAGCUAAUACCGCAUAACGUCGCAAGACCAAAAAAGGGGACCUUCGGGCCUCUUGCCAUCGGAUGUGCCCAGAUGGGAUUAGCUAGUAGGUGGGGUAACGGCUCACCUAGGCGACGAUCCCUAGCUGGUCUGAGAGGAUGACCAGCCACACUGGAACUGAGACACGGUCCAGACUCCUACGGGAGGCGGCAGUGGGGAAUAUUGCACAAUGGGCGCAAGCCUGAUGCAGCCAUGCCGCGUGUAUGAAGAAGGCCUUCGGGUUGUAAAGUACUUUCAGCGGGGAGGAAGGGAGUAAAGUUAAUACCUUUGCUCAUUGACGUUACCCGCAGAAGAAGCACCGGCUAACUCCGUG